CCUACGGGAGACAGCAGUAAGGGAUAUUGGUCAAUGGGGGAAACCCUGAACCAGCAACGCCGCGUGCGGGAAGACGGUUUUCGGAUUGUAAACCUCUGUCCUCUGUGAAGAUGAUGCCGAUAGCAGAGGCGUUAGCUACGGCUAAUUACGUGCCAGCAGCCGCGGUCAUACGUAGGGAUCAAGCGUUGUCCGGAUUUACGGGGUGUAAAGGGUGCGUAGGCGGGUUGGUAAGUCAGUAGUGAAAUCCAUGGGCUUAACCCCGGAACUGCUAUUGAAACUGUCGAGCUUGAGUGAAGUAGAGGUAGGCGGAAUGCCCGGUGUAGCGGUGAAAUGCGUAGAGAUCGGGAAGAACACCAGUGGCGAAGGCAGCCUACUGGGCUUUAACUGACGCUGAGGCACGAAAGCGUGGGUAGCAAACAGGAUUAGAUACCCGAGUAGUC
This 440-nucleotide ribosomal RNA is filed under the name uncultured bacterium. RNAcentral describes it as "partial 16S ribosomal RNA". It matches the Rfam family "Bacterial small subunit ribosomal RNA", at positions 338 to 795 of the family's 1533-position model. The record is from RNAcentral.